Molecule: RNA transcript, 2100 nt
Organism: Dreissena polymorpha
Lineage: Eukaryota; Metazoa; Mollusca; Bivalvia; Myida; Dreissenidae
Exons: 12
Source: RefSeq, a predicted model, not a curated record
GUGUAUCAUUAGCCUAAACGGAAUAAACUAAGCAGGUUAUAUUAUCUUAUAUACAAUUCUAGACAGAACCACCAUGGGCAAGACAAAUGGAAAAUCCAACGUUGCACUAGACAGAACUGAUUGGUUUAUUGGGAUUGUGUGUCUGAUCAUAUUUUAUGAAGCAGGUGUUUCAGCCAUACAAAUAGACGGUCCAUUGGAGCCCCCAGACGGAGAUCCAUCAGAAUUAUGCGAGCUUGAUAGCUUAUUGCCCGUUAAUAAACCAUGUAACAUCACAGAUUUGAACCCGACAGUAUCUAUAAUCAGAGAACCAACUAUCGCUUCAAAAUGUCCAUCAACCCCGAGGACAAAAAUACCUGAAGUGUUGACGCUGUGUGAUGCUGUUAACAGGGUAGAUGUAGGAGCAGAAAAUUUCGUGGGCAACAAAGUCGGUCAUUUCAAAUUGGAGAUUCUUUUCUUGGAAAAUCGCCUAUUCGAAAUACAAUGACACCACGUGGCUCCCAGGAUACCGGAAUUUAUACAUGCAUAGCUGCUUAUGCACUUGGAAAAGUCAGCAAGGAACUUGAAAUCAACUUUGAUAUUGACACAGAGCUUCAUCAAGGUGAAGCUGACAAAACAAAUAAACAAGAAUAUAAACAGUCAACCGUAUUUAUAGUUGGGGUCUGUAGCACUGUUGCUGGCAGUUUAGUUUUGUUGACACUUAGUUUGUUUCUUCUCAAGAGAGGUUACACUUGCGUGUCGCUAGUGAGGAUUCUUCGCUCUUCUGCGAUAGUGGAGAGCAAUAAUGACAUGUAAGAUGGGAUUGAUUAAAAACCGUACAGGGAUGAAUAGUAGGAAUUUAUAAAUGACACUUCAACGAAAUCUUGUAGUGUUAAUGUUGUCGUAUUUAAUUAAAAUAAAGUCGAUAUCUGUGCGAUCUGCUUACAUUUAACGAAACACGUCAUGCAUUUGCAUAUAUAAUGUGUAUCUUCUUCAAUAAUGCACAUUGCACGCAAAAGCAGUUAAGCUUCAUUUCAAGCAUUUACUAUAUUGAAUAAGCAUAUGCCGUCAAUUUGUUAUGCAAAUAUUUCAUCUUUUUCCCCAGAAAUGCAAAUUCUGCCCAUGCAGAUAUGAAUACAGGAACCAACUACGCAUUUUUUGAAGGCCGGUUUCCAGAUGACGAAACACAUAGUUCCGGGGUUAUGAAUGUGCAUACAUCGUCAAUAGAGAUUGCGGAAAUGUCACAUGCUUUCGACAAUGAAACUUACGCCGAAAGUAUCAACAAAUUGGAGGAAGGACCGGUAAACAACCACUGGUUAGCUCAACAGAUGAUCCCAAAGAUUCCUGCGAGCUGGGAGCAACUGACGCAAAUGAUGACGACCCUCUUUACAAUGGCGUUAUAGCUGCUGAUUUUGCUUUAUCAGCAACAACAUGCACUUCAAAACCUGAACCUUCAGAAGACGCAAAAUGCAGUGUUAUCUCUAAGAUGGAACGACUAUAUGACGCCUCAAUUAACGGACAAGCUACAAGGGCAGAACCAAACGAUUGCAUUGCCAAUGUUGUCAAUUCACCAUCGAUGAAAGAUGGGGGUUUCUAAAGCGUUGUUUAGAAGAAGAAACCUACUGACGGCGCAAUAUUUGGCGUGUGUUACAUCAACAAAAGACCAUAAUUAUGAUGACAAUGAAACUCGGGUCAAAAAAACAAACGAAUUGAUGACUUUACUGAAAGCGUUGUAAAAAAGAAACGACGACCAUACGACAUCAUAGUUAGCGUUGGCAAUUCAAAGACACUCCUAGAUAAAGGCUCUGAGAAUAAUGCAGAUUAUACGAAGGAUGACCGCGCAUAUAUGAAUGGGCUGUAGAGCGGAUUAUGUCGCCGACAAAGAUAAUAUGCUGGUCCACUACAUCUACGGCGUAGUAAAUAAAAGAAGACACACUUCGAUGAACAUAACAGAAUUGUGCAUACAAAAAUAGGCGAACAUACAUGUACUACAAUUCAAUGCGCUUUUUGCUGCAAUUUAAAGGAUAAAGUGACACAUGUACUUGCUACAUACUCUAGAUUUGUCAUGUAUUAUAUGUAAGUUUCACCCUAACGAAAUAAACAAGAAUAUUUCAUUUCAAAAUU